GACGAACGCUGGCGGCGUGCUUAACACAUGCAAGUCGAACGGAAAGGCCCUGCUUUUGCGGGGUGCUCGAGUGGCGAACGGGUGAGUAACACGUGAGUAACCUGCCCUUGACUUUGGGAUAACUUCAGGAAACUGGGGCUAAUACCGGAUAGGAGCUCCUGCUGCAUGGUGGGGGUUGGAAAGUUUCGGCGGUUGGGGAUGGACUCGCGGCUUAUCAGCUUGUUGGUGGGGUAGUGGCUUACCAAGGCUUUGACGGGUAGCCGACCUGAGAGGGUGACCGGCGACAAUGGGACUGAGAUACGGCCCAGACUCCUACGGGAGGCAGCAGUGGGGAAUAUUGCACAAUGGGCGGAAGCCUGAUGCAGCAACGCCGCGUGCGGGAUGACGGCCUUCGGGGUGUAAACCGCUUUCGCCUGUAACGAAGCGUGAGUGACGGUAAUGGGUAAAGAAGCACCGGCUAACUACGUG
This 468-nucleotide ribosomal RNA is filed under the name uncultured bacterium. RNAcentral describes it as "partial 16S ribosomal RNA". It matches the Rfam family "Bacterial small subunit ribosomal RNA", at positions 28 to 507 of the family's 1533-position model. The record is from RNAcentral.